RNAcentral lists this transfer RNA (68 nucleotides) under Diamphipnopsis sp. SD-2019. RNAcentral describes it as "tRNA-Gly". The record is from RNAcentral. Lineage: Eukaryota; Metazoa; Arthropoda; Insecta; Plecoptera; Diamphipnoidae.
AUUUAUUUAGUAUAAAUGUAUAUUUGACUUCCAAUCAAAAGGACUGAAAACAAAACUCAGAAUAAAUA